This 2515-nucleotide ribosomal RNA is filed under the name Lacticaseibacillus paracasei ATCC 334. Its description in RNAcentral is "Lactobacillus paracasei ATCC 334 23S ribosomal RNA". Lineage: Bacteria; Bacillati; Bacillota; Bacilli; Lactobacillales; Lactobacillaceae. The record is from RNAcentral.
UUGGUUAAGUCCUCGACCGAUUAGUACUGGUCCGCUCCAUGCAUCGCUGCACUUCCACUUCCAGCCUAUCUACCUGAUCAUCUCUCAGGGGUCUUACUUCCAUAUAGGAAUGGGAAAUCUCAUCUCGAGGGGGGCUUCACACUUAGAUGCUUUCAGCGUUUAUCCCUGCCGUUCAUAGCUACCCAGCGAUGCGCCUGGCGGCACAACUGGUACACCAGCGGAACGUCCAUCCCGGUCCUCUCGUACUAAGGACAGCUCCUCUCAAAUUUCCUGCGCCCGCGACGGAUAGGGACCGAACUGUCUCACGACGUUCUGAACCCAGCUCGCGUACCGCUUUAAUGGGCGAACAGCCCAACCCUUGGGACCGACUACAGCCCCAGGAUGCGAUGAGCCGACAUCGAGGUGCCAAACCUCCCCGUCGAUGUGGACUCUUGGGGGAGAUAAGCCUGUUAUCCCCAGGGUAGCUUUUAUCCGUUGAGCGAUGGCCCUUCCAUACGGAACCACCGGAUCACUAAGCCCGACUUUCGUCCCUGCUCGACUUGUCAGUCUCGCAGUCAAGCUCCCUUAUACCUUUACACUCUGCGAAUGAUUUCCAACCAUUCUGAGGGAACCUUUGGGCGCCUCCGUUACAUUUUAGGAGGCGACCGCCCCAGUCAAACUGCCUACCUGACACUGUCUCCCGCCACGAUUAGUGGCGCGGGUUAGAGUGUUCAUACAGCUAGGGUAGUAUCCCACCAACGCCUCCAUCGAAACUAGCGUUCCGAUCUCUACGGCUCCUACCUAUCCUGUACAAGCGGUACAAACACUCAAUAUCAAGCUACAGUAAAGCUCCAUGGGGUCUUUCCGUCCUGUCGCGGGUAACCCGCAUCUUCACGGGUACUAUAAUUUCACCGAGUCUCUCGUUGAGACAGUGCCCAAAUCAUUACGCCUUUCGUGCGGGUCGGAACUUACCCGACAAGGAAUUUCGCUACCUUAGGACCGUUAUAGUUACGGCCGCCGUUUACUGGGGCUUCAAUUCUGGGCUUCGCUUGCGCUAACUCAUCCUCUUAACCUUCCAGCACCGGGCAGGCGUCAGCCCCUAUACAUCAUCUUACGAUUUAGCAGAGACCUGUGUUUUUGAUAAACAGUUGUUUGGGCCUAUUCACUGCGGCUGACCUUGCGGUCAGCACCCCUUCUUCCGAAGUUACGGGGUCAUUUUGCCGAGUUCCUUAACGAGAGUUCGCUCGCUCACCUGAGGAUACUCUCCUCGACUACCUGUGUCGGUUUGCGGUACGGGUAGUUUAUUUCUCACUAGAAGCUUUUCUUGGCAGUGUGACAUCAGGAACUUCGCUACUAUAAUUUCGCUCCCCAUCACAGCUUGUCCUUAAGACUGCAAGCAUUUCACUCGCUGUCAGACUUGCUGCUUGGGCGCACAUUUCCAGCCGUGCGCUUUCCUUAGCCUCCUGCGUCCCUCCAUCGCUUAAACAAAAUAAACUAGUGCAGGAAUCUCAACCUGCUUGUCAUCGACUACGCCUCUCGGCCUCGCCUUAGAUCCCGACUAACCCUGGGAGGACGAGCCUUCCCCAGGAAACCUUAGUCAUACGGUGGAUCAGAUUCUCACUGAUCUUUCGCUACUCAUGCCGGCAUUCUCACUUCUAAGCGCUCCAGCCGUCCUCACGAUCGACCUUCAACGCCCUUAGAACGCUCUCCUACCGCGCACCCUUAUGGGUGCACCCACAGUUUCGGUAUUAUGCUUAGCCCCGGUAUAUUUUCGGCGCAGUGCCACUCGACUAGUGAGCUAUUACGCACUCUUUAAAUGGUGGCUGCUUCUGAGCCAACAUCCUAGUUGUCUGUGCAACGCCACAUCCUUUUCCACUUAGCAUAAAUUUAGGGACCUUAACUGGUGAUCUGGGCUGUUCCCCUUUCGACAAUGGACCUUAUCGCUCACUGUCUGACUCCCGGAGUAAGAUCGAUGGUAUUCGGAGUUUAUCUGAAUUCAGUAACCCUUGAUGGGCCCCUAGUUCAAACAGUGCUCUACCUCCAUGAUCCAUCCUCCGAGGCUAACCCUAAAGCUAUUUCGGAGAGAACCAGCUAUCUCCAAGUUCGUUUGGAAUUUCACCGCUACCCACAACUCAUCCCAGCAUUUUUCAACAUACAUGGGUUCGGUCCUCCAGUGUGUUUCACCACACCUUCAACCUGGUCAUGGGUAGGUCACUUGGUUUCGGGUCUACAUCUGCUUACUCAUUCGCCCUGUUCAGACUCGCUUUCGCUACGGCUCCGACUUUUCAUCUUAACCUCGCAAGCAAACGUAACUCGCCGGUUCAUUCUACAAAAGGCACGCCAUUACCCAUUAACGGGCUUUGACUAAUUGUAGGCACACGGUUUCAGGAACUGUUUCACUCCCCUUCCGGGGUGCUUUUCACCUUUCCCUCACGGUACUGGUUCACUAUCGGUCACUAGGGAGUAUUUAGCCUUGGGAGAUGGUCCUCCCGGAUUCCGACGGAAUUUCACGUGUUCCGCCGUACUCAGGAUCCUG